GAGUUUGAUCAUGGCUCAGGACGAACGCUGGCGGCGUGCUUAACACAUGCAAGUCGAGCGAUGAAGUUCCUUCGGGAACAGAUUAGCGGCGAACGGGUGAGGAACACGUGAGGAAUCUGCCUUCUACUCUGGGAUAACUCCGGGAAACCGGGGCUAAUACUGGAUAUGAAACCUGAUGGCAUCAUCGGGUUUGGAAAGUUUUUCGGUAGAAGAUGACCUCGCGGCCUAUCAGCUUGUUGGUGAGGUAAUGGCUCACCAAGGCGACGACGGGUAGCCGGCCUGAGAGGGCGACCGGCCACACUGGGACUGAGACACGGCCCAGACUCCUACGGGAGGCAGCAGUGGGGAAUAUUGGGCAAUGGAGGAAACUCUGACCCAGCGACGCCGCGUGCGGGAUGAAGGCCUUCGGGUUGUAAACCGCUUUCAGCAGGGAAGAAGCGAAAGUGACGGUACCUGCAGAAGAAGCACCGGCUAACUAUGUGCCAGCAGCCGCGGUAAUACAUAGGGUGCAAGCGUU
RNAcentral lists this ribosomal RNA (517 nucleotides) under uncultured bacterium. RNAcentral describes it as "bacterial SSU rRNA". It matches the Rfam family "Bacterial small subunit ribosomal RNA", at positions 9 to 542 of the family's 1533-position model. The record is from RNAcentral.